This is a long non-coding RNA of Oncorhynchus masou masou (cherry salmon), 264 nucleotides long. RefSeq lists it as uncharacterized. Lineage: Eukaryota; Metazoa; Chordata; Actinopteri; Salmoniformes; Salmonidae. The transcript is spliced from 3 exons. The record is from RefSeq and is a predicted model, not a curated record.
GGGAAGGGGAUGUUCGGGCUGAAAGUGAAGAAGAGGAAGAAGACAGUCACCACGUCUGAUCUCGUCUUGGCCAAUAAAGCAGCUCUAGAUGGUACAGAGCCAGAGGGUAAUGCUGAGGUCACUGGUCUGUUAGAAGGACAGUACCCCGACGAUGGUCAGCCUGGCCCUUCGGGAACCCUACCUGUCAGACAGCUACCCCAGACCAAGAGGUCUAAACUAAGACCAAAGAUUCUGGACAGUGAGAAAAAGGCCCAGACUUUCCAG